UACGGAGGGUGCAAGCGUUAUCCGGAUUCACUGGGUUUAAAGGGUGCGUAGGUGGGCUUGUAAGUCAGUGGUGAAAUCUCCGUGCUUAACAUGGAAACUGCCAUUGAUACUAUGGGUCUUGAAUUAUCUGGAGGUUAGCGGAAUAUGUCAUGUAGCGGUGAAAUGCUUAGAUAUGACAUAGAACACCAAUUGCGAAGGCAGCUGGCUACAGGUACAUUGACACUGAGGCACGAAAGCGUGGGGAGCAAACAGG
This 253-nucleotide ribosomal RNA is filed under the name uncultured bacterium. RNAcentral's name for it is "partial 16S ribosomal RNA". It matches the Rfam family "Bacterial small subunit ribosomal RNA", at positions 524 to 776 of the family's 1533-position model. The record is from RNAcentral.